CCUACGGGCGGCAGCAGUGGGGAAUAUUGCACAAUGGGGGAAACCCUGAUGCAGCGACGCCGCGUGAGCGAUGAAGUAUUUCGGUAUGUAAAGCUCUAUCAGCAGGGCAGAAAAUGACGGUACCUGACUAAGAAGCCCCGGCUAACUACGUGCCAGCAGCCGCGGUAAUACGUAGGGGGCCAGCGUUAUCCGGAUUUACUGGGUGUAAAGGGAGCGUAGACGGUCCUGCAAGCCAGCUGUGAAAGCCCGGGGCGCAACCCCGGGACUGCAGUUGGAACUGCAUGGCUGGAGUGCGGGAGAGGCAGGCGGAAUUCCUGGUGUAGCGGUGAAAUGCGUAGAUAUCAGGAGGAACACCGGCGGCGAAGGCGGCCUGCUGGACCGCGACUGACGUUGAGGCUCGAAAGCGUGGGGAGCGAACAGGAUUAGAUACCCGGGUAGUC
Molecule: ribosomal RNA, 440 nt
Filed under: uncultured bacterium
Lineage: Bacteria
Description: partial 16S ribosomal RNA
Rfam family: Bacterial small subunit ribosomal RNA
Source: RNAcentral